Long non-coding RNA from Trifolium pratense (red clover), 4008 nucleotides. RefSeq lists it as uncharacterized. The record is from RefSeq and is a predicted model, not a curated record. The transcript is spliced from 5 exons. Lineage: Eukaryota; Viridiplantae; Streptophyta; Magnoliopsida; Fabales; Fabaceae.
UGCUCGGUGACAGUGCAAUCUACACCUGAAGGCAAGUAACUAUUUUUAGUAUCCAUUUUCGAUUCAUUUCACUUUUGAAAUUCAACAUGCACUAAUCUGUGUUGUUUUAGAACAGGUUGCUCGAGAAUUGGAUCUGAGGUGGAAGAGAAAAAUGACAUAAUUAACAAAAUUUUGCUUGAAAAAAGGUAUCCAUUUUUUCUCGAUUAUUUAGAAAGUUUCAAUCUUCUGCCGAAAGACCCUGUUUGACAUCAAUAUUUUGAAUUAGACCCAUACUUUGUAAAGUGCAAUAGCUUUCUCAAAAGUUUUUCUAUCGGUUGAAUUAUGAGCAACGUGGUUAAAUGUUGGCUCGAUGACUUGAUACCCUAUAUUUGAUAUGCCGGAGUGAUAUAUUGACCCAAAAUAUAUUCAUUGUUAUUGACUCUAUAAAUUAUUUUAAGAUGGUAAUAUGCUGCCUUGAUAAUGCUUAAAUUCAAAUUUUAUAUUGGCUCUGCCUCUCAUAUGGUUAAAUGUUCCAUUGAAGACCCUUAAGUCUAAAUCCUAUAGGCUACAUAGUUUCAAUUAUAUGUUGCCUCGAUAGGGUUUAAUUAAAUGUUUCUUUAAUGACCCUUAAGUCUAAUUCUGAUUUUUUUUUUUUUAAAUUGCCCCUAAAAAAAUCAUUUUUUACAGCAAUACCCCUGUUUUAAAAAAUAUUGCCGUAAUACCCCUCUUUUGAGGCAAAAACUGGUGUGUAGCAAGUUUCCACUGAUGGCGGAACCGACAGAAUCGCCAUUUGCAUGGUGAUGGUGGAAAUGGCAGUUCCGCCAUUGACCAAAGAAUUUGUUUUUUGUUUUUUUCCUUUAUAUCCAAAAAGGAAGAAGACAUAUUUAAGCCGUCUGAUGAAGAUCAGCGGCUGUGAUGAAAGGCUUAUGGUGCAGCUGCAGUGGACCUACGCGCGUAGGAUCAGCAGGUAUAAAUUCUCCUAAUCCUCAAAAAAUUUCAUUUUUCUUCUCACUUUCUCUCUCUUCUUCUCUCGGCUCUCUCUCUUCUCUCAUCUCACUCAAGAACAUUCAUGUUGUUCUUCAUGAACACAUGAAUGCCGGCGGCGGACCACCGCCUGGGCCAGAUUCCGGCGUCCUUAGCCACCGCGACGUCCGGUUUCCGGCGGUUUCGCCACCGUGCCGGAUACCUAAAAUCACCCAAAAAAUCCCAAAUUAAACCCAAAAAAUCCAAAAUCCUUUUUUAAACACUUUUAACCAGUUUUAAACACAAAUCAAACCCCAAAACAAAUAAAUCAAAGUAAACAUAUUAAAAUCCCAAAAAUUAAAUGUUGUUGUUCUAUUACCUCUUUUGUGUUUCUAAUUCUUAUUUUUCUGGCUCUGUUUAUGAGAUUUUUUUUUUGUUAUGGCCUGAAGGGGGAGAAAAAUUGAAAGAACAACACAUAAUCCGUUGUGCCUCCCCCUCGACCAAAAUUCAAUCACCACCAUAAAUCAUUACCAAAUGAAAAAAUCAAAGAGGCAGAGAACCAAAAUCUGAAAGUAGGGAAGAUAGAACAAAGAAACAGGAAGAAAAAAAAAAAGGAAAGGUAAUAAACAGAUCAAAACUUUUGGGUUUUAAUUUGUUUUAUUUCGAUUUGUGUUUUUGAGGCUUCAUUUGCGAUUAGGAUUUUAGAUCAGAGUUUAAUAUUAACAUUUAAAAAAAAAAAAAAUACAAAACGCCAUUUUCAGGCCAGAAAAUGAAAAAAAAAAAAAAAAGUUGGGCAAUGGCAGAACUGCCAUUUCCGCCAUUACUUGCAUGUGGCCACACUGUCGGUUCCGCCAUCAGUGGGGACCUGCAGCUUGCCAGUUUUUGUCCCAAAAGAGGGGUAUUACGGAAAUAUUUUUUAAAACAAGGGUAUUGUUGUAAAAAACGAUUUUUUUAGAGGCAAUUGAAUAAAAAAAUCUCUAAUUCUUAUCGGCUAUAUACGAUGAACCUUAUUUAAAGUUGUCUCGAUGACCCUUAUUAGAUGUUUCCUCUAUGACCUUUAAGUUCAAUUCUUAUUGGUUAUAUAAAUUCGGUUAAUGUUGUCUCGAUGACCCUUAUUAAAUGUUGCCUCGAUGAUCCAUAAGUCCUAUUAUUAUUUGCUAUAUAAAUUCGGUUAUAUAUUGCCUCAAUGACUCUUAUUAAAAGUUGACUCAAUGACCCUUAUUUAAUGUUGCCUCGAUGACCCUUAUGUUCAAUUCUUAUUGGAUAUAAAUUCGGUUAAUGUUGCCUCGAUAACCCUUAUUAAAUGUUGACUCGAUGGCCCAUCAGUCCAAUUCUUGUUGGUUAUAUAAAUUCGAUUAAACUUUGUCUUGAUGAUCUUUAAGACCGAUUAAUAUUGGCAUUAUAAAUUCCGUUAAUUGUUGGCUCGAUGACCCUAUAUCCCAUUGCUGCUGACAAAAUUAAUUUGGAAAUGGUUCCUCUGUGGCAGUGCAGUCUACAAGUCAAGGCAAGUAACUACUUUUAGUGUCUAUUUUCGAUUCAUUUCAAUUUUGAAAUUCAACAUGUACUAAUCUGUGUUGUUUUUGAACAGGUUGCUCGAGAAUUAAAUGUGAGGUGGAAGAGAAAAAUGACAUAAUUAACAUGAUUUUGCUUGAAAAAAGCCAACAUCAAGAGUGAGUUACAACCAUUUGGGAAACAACGAUGGAAUGAAUCUCUCUGCACCACAAACUUUCUGCUGCAAAGAAAUCUCCAAGAGCAAUGUUGUUGAUGAUAUGGUUAACAACAAUGCAAUCCUCUAUGGGCCUGGUGAACAUCCAGACCAUGUUGUUGUUAUUAAGUAUGUGCUUUAUGUUGGGGACAGCAAGAGAGCAAUGGAUGAGUACACUUUAUGUUGGCGACAGCAAGAGAGCAAUGGAACAAGAGUCAAGGAUGCAGGAGCUAAAGAUCAUAUUGCCAUUGGAGAUUCUUGAGCACUCAUGAUAUCCAUGGAUAGCAAAGCACCUCAUUAAAAUGAGAUCUUCGAUGUUGAUUGGCUUACCUCAUAAUUACACUGAUGUCUCGAAUGAUCGAUCACUUCACUCUCUUGUUGUAUGGAAAUUGAAGCAAUUGCACUAUCCUAUGAAGCAAUGCCAAGCUUAUGUUGCUCAUGAUCUAUGCUAGGUAAUAUGACUGAUCUGACUAUAAACUCAGAUUUCAGGUUUUACACAGGACUAACUAAUGCCUCUAUGUGGACGAUCUUAAAAUUUUUAGUUUGUAUUAUGCUUCAAAAUUUCCCACUUGUUGAGUUGACAAUUUGUAUGGUAAUUCUCUUUAACUUGUUGAGUUAAAUUGUAGGUAGAAAUAUUAUACUUCAAAAUUUCCCACUUGUUGAGUUGACAAUCUGUACGGUAAUUCUCUUUAUCUUUUUGAGUUAAAUUGUAGGUAAAACUUUGAUUACAUUUGUUCAAAUAUUUGCAGAAAAUGGCGAUUACCAACAAAUCACGUGUGGUUGUUCUCAACAAGGGGAACAUUUAGUAUUUAAAUAGACGAUCUUUAUUAUUCAACUUUUGUAAAUGACUCAAGUAUGAUAUUAUUUCUUUUAAAUCUGCUUUCUUCAAAGAAUUUGAUAUACUGAAAUUAAUUAGUGUUGCAUUAGAUUUAGAAGCACUGAAUACAUUUUGUUUGUGAAAUGUGUAAUUAUGUGUGAUUAAAAUCUGAUGGGUUGGUAUUCUAUUUAUUAAGUUCUUAGAGAUUUCUGGUCUGCGAGAGAUCAACUUUUCUUUGUAUAUAUAUGAUAUACUAUAAUAGUAAAACUUUUUGAUUGAGAACCCUUUCCCGCCUAUCCCUCCCGCAAGAGAGCCUUUAUGUUAAUGUAGAAAAUUAGCCUCUUCCUUCUUUGCAGCCUAUGAUGCCUCAUGUGAGGAAGGUACUGCAACUUCUUUAUGCAGGGCUCUUGAUAAAAUUGCGGACGUAUCUGUACCAGGUAUGAAUGUUAAGUUAGCACUAUUUAUUUAACUUGACAUUGUGUCUAUGCUCCACAUAAAUAAAGAAAUGGUAUUUGAUAGAAAAUGAUUUUUUUUUAAAUGAAAA